RNAcentral lists this ribosomal RNA (449 nucleotides) under uncultured bacterium. Its description in RNAcentral is "partial 16S ribosomal RNA". It matches the Rfam family "Bacterial small subunit ribosomal RNA", at positions 29 to 523 of the family's 1533-position model. The record is from RNAcentral.
AACGAACGCUGGCGGCAUGCCUAACACAUGCAAGUCGAACGAGAUCUUCGGGUCUAGUGGCGCACGGGUGCGUAACGCGUGGGAAUCUGCCCUUUGGUUCGGAAUAACAGUUGGAAACGACUGCUAAUACCGGAUGAUGACGAAAGUCCAAAGACUUAUCGCCAGAGGAUGAGCCCGCGUAGGAUUAGCUAGUUGGUGUGGUAAAGGCGCACCAAGGCGACGAUCCUUAGCUGGUCUGAGAGGAUGAUCAGCCACACUGGGACUGAGACACGGCCCAGACUCCUACGGGAGGCAGCAGUGGGGAAUAUUGGACAAUGGGCGAAAGCCUGAUCCAGCAAUGCCGCGUGAGUGAUGAAGGCCUUAGGGUUGUAAAGCUCUUUUACCUGGGAUGAUAAUGACAGUACCGGGAGAAUAAGCUCCGGCUAACUCCGUGCCAGCAGCCGCCGUAA